RNAcentral lists this transfer RNA (72 nucleotides) under Camelus bactrianus (Bactrian camel). It matches the Rfam family "tRNA". From Rfam's summary of the family: Transfer RNA (tRNA) molecules are approximately 80 nucleotides in length. Their secondary structure includes four short double-helical elements and three loops (D, anti-codon, and T loops). RNAcentral also lists the same sequence under 2 other names. Lineage: Eukaryota; Metazoa; Chordata; Mammalia; Artiodactyla; Camelidae. The record is from Rfam by way of RNAcentral.
GAGGAUAUAGCUCAGUGGUAGAGCACAUGCUUAGCAUGCACGAGGUCCUGGAUUCAAUCCCCAGUACCUCCA